ACGUUCGACACCUACGGUAGGCAGCAGUGGGGAAUAUUGGGCAAUGGGCGCAAGCCUGACCCAGCAACGCCGCGUGAAGGAAGAAGGCUUUCGGGUUGUAAACUUCUUUUAUUAAGGACGAAGCAAUGACGGUACUUAAUGAAUAAGCUCCGGCUAACUACGUGCCAGUAGCCGCGGUAAUCUGAGCGGGCUGGCAAGGC
RNAcentral lists this ribosomal RNA (200 nucleotides) under uncultured bacterium. RNAcentral describes it as "partial 16S ribosomal RNA". It matches the Rfam family "Bacterial small subunit ribosomal RNA", at positions 326 to 539 of the family's 1533-position model. The record is from RNAcentral.